UACGUAGGUGGCAAGCGUUGUCCGGAUUUACUGGGCGUAAAGCGCGCGCAGGCGGCACUGUAAGUAAGGUGUGAAAUCUCCCUGCUCAACGGGGAGGGUGCAUUUUAGACUGCAGAGCUAGAGGACGGUAGAGGGGGGUGGAAUUGCUGGUGUAGCGGUGAAAUGCGUAGAGAUCAGCAGGAACACCCGUGGCGAAGGCGGCCCCCUGGGCCGAACCUGACGCUGAGGCGCGAAGGCUAGGGGAGCGAACGGG
RNAcentral lists this ribosomal RNA (253 nucleotides) under uncultured bacterium. Its description in RNAcentral is "partial 16S ribosomal RNA". It matches the Rfam family "Bacterial small subunit ribosomal RNA", at positions 524 to 776 of the family's 1533-position model. The record is from RNAcentral.